GGUUGAUCCUGCCAGUAGUCAUAUGCUUGUCUCAAAGAUUAAGCCAUGCAUGUCUCAGUGUAAACUUUUAAACAGUGAAACUGCGAAUGGCUCAUUAAAACAGUUAUAGUUUAUUUGAUACUCAUUCUUACAUGGAUAACCGUGGGAAUUCUAGGGCUAAUACAUGCGUAAACCCGCAAGGGAUGUGUUUAUUAGAUUAAAACCAUCGCAGUGGCAACACUGUUACAAUGGAAUAAUAAUAACCGAACGAAUCGCACGCUUUUUGUGGCGAUAAAUCAUUCAAGUUUCUGAC
Molecule: ribosomal RNA, 292 nt
Filed under: uncultured eukaryote
Lineage: Eukaryota
Description: partial 18S ribosomal RNA
Rfam family: Eukaryotic small subunit ribosomal RNA
Source: RNAcentral